Molecule: ribosomal RNA, 228 nt
Filed under: uncultured archaeon
Lineage: Archaea
Description: partial 16S ribosomal RNA
Rfam family: Archaeal small subunit ribosomal RNA
Source: RNAcentral
GCCACUGCUAUUGGGGUUCGGCUAAGCCAUGCGAGUGGAGGGCGUCCCGCAAGGGAUGGCCCCGCAGACGGCUCAGUAACACGUCGUCAACCCACCUUAGGGUGGGGACAACCUCGGGAAACUGAGGAUAAUCCCCCAUAGGCGGGGGAGGCUGGAAUGCGCCCCCGCCGGAAGCUCAGGUGCCCUAGGACGGGACGGCGGCCUAAUCAGGUAGUUGGUGGUGUGACG